CCUACGGGGGGCUGCAGUUUCGAAUCAUUCACAAUGGGCGAAAGCCUGAUGGUGCGACGCCGCGUGAGGGAUGAAGGUCUUCGGAUUGUAAACCUCUGUCACUGGGGAGAAAACGCUUUGAGUUAAUAGUUCAAAGCCUGAUUUAACCCGGAGAGGAAGCAGUGGCUAACUCUGUGCCAGCAGCCGCGGUAAUACAGAGACUGCAAGCGUGGGUCUGAUUCACUGGGCGUCAAGGGGGCGCAGCCGGUGUGAAAUCCCGAGGCUUAACCUCGGAACUGCGUCUGAAACUACUCGACUAGAGUACUGGAGAGGGAAACGGAAUUCACGGUGUAGCAGUGAAAUGCGUAGAUAUCGUGAGGAACACCAGAGGCGAAGGCGGUUUCCUGGACAGUUACUGACGCUCAGGCACGAAAGCAUGGGGAGCAAAAGGGAUUAGAUACCCUGGUAGUC
This 450-nucleotide ribosomal RNA is filed under the name uncultured bacterium. Its description in RNAcentral is "partial 16S ribosomal RNA". It matches the Rfam family "Bacterial small subunit ribosomal RNA", at positions 338 to 795 of the family's 1533-position model. The record is from RNAcentral.